This 440-nucleotide ribosomal RNA is filed under the name uncultured bacterium. RNAcentral describes it as "partial 16S ribosomal RNA". It matches the Rfam family "Bacterial small subunit ribosomal RNA", at positions 338 to 795 of the family's 1533-position model. The record is from RNAcentral.
CCUACGGGGAGCAGCAGUGGGGGAUAUUGCACAAUGGGGGAAACCCUGAUGCAGCGACGCCGCGUGGGCGAAGAAGUAUUUCGGUAUGUAAAGCCCUGUCAGCAGGGAAGAAAAUGACGGUACCUGAGUAAGAAGCCCCGGCUAACUACGUGCCAGCAGCCGCGGUAAUACGUAGGGGGCAAGCGUUAUCCGGAUUUACUGGGUGUAAAGGGGGCGCAGACGGCAGCGCAAGCCAGGAGUGAAAGCCCGGGGCCCAACCCCCGGACUGCUCUGGAAACUGUACGGCUGGAGUGCAGGAGAGGUAAGUGGAAUUCCUAGUGUAGCGGUGAAAUGCGUAGAUAUUAGGAGGAACACCAGUGGCGAAGGCGGCUUACUGGACUGUAACUGACGUUGAGGCUCGAAAGCGUGGGGAGCAAACAGGAUUAGAUACCCGGGUAGUC